RNAcentral lists this ribosomal RNA (388 nucleotides) under uncultured bacterium. RNAcentral's name for it is "bacterial SSU rRNA". It matches the Rfam family "Bacterial small subunit ribosomal RNA", at positions 29 to 432 of the family's 1533-position model. The record is from RNAcentral.
AACGAACGCUGGCGGUAUGCUUAACACAUGCAAGUCGAACGGACUAAUUAAAGCUUGCUUUGAUUAGUUAGUGGCAAACGGGUGAGUAACGCGUGGGAAUCUACCCAUCAGUACGGAAUAACUUUUGGAAACAAAAGCUAAUACCGUAUAUUCUCUUCGGAGGAAAGAUUUAUCGCUGAUGGAUGAGCCCGCGUCUGGUUAGGUAGUUGGUAGGGUAAUGGCCUACCAAGCCAACGAUCAGUAGCUGGUCUGAGAGGAUGAUCAGCCACACUGGAACUGAGACACGGUCCAGACUCCUACGGGAGGCAGCAGUGGGAAGUAUUGCGCAAUGGGCGAAAGCCUGACGCAGCGACGCCGCGUGGGUGAUGAAGGCCUCGGUCGUAAGACC